AUGUCUUGUUUUUUAUUUUUUUUUAUAUUUUUUAGAGGUGUAUCUGACUCACUAAAACAUCUGAUAUGGAUUAGAUCCAACGACGUUAACUAUUUUGUCAUAAACUUUCCCAAUUUUUAUGAAACGACAAUAUACAACACGUUUGGCUAUAAAGUUCCAACUAACUUAUCUAACGACUGUCCCACUUUUUGUGGUGGUAUAUUAGGGCUACAAGAAGAUAUUAUGUGUGUGCAGACAAAAAUAGAAGAAAUAGAAAUAGAGAAUCAUGUCGAUUGUGAUAAUUUUAAUAUCAAUGACUCAACAAGUAAUAUAUUAAAAUUAUUAUUUAACAAUCCCAAUGAUAAUGAAAAAGAAAAAAAUACAUAUUUACUACCUGAACAUAAUUUUUGGGUUGAAUUCAAAACACUGAGCUCACCCAAUUUUGGUUUAACAAAUAAUAAUAAAAAAAAAGAGAAAAAAAAAAAAUUUUCUUACAUAGCUAAUGUAAAAAAUAAAUUAUUAAAAAAUAAAAAAAUUGAUAAAUAUUUUAGAAUAUCAUCUGAUUCGAUUUUACCCCAUUCUAAAAAUUUUGUUAAUAAUAAUAAUAAUAAUAAUAAUAAUAAUAAUAAUAAUAAUAAGAAACCGAAAGAAAACACGCAUGAUGGCCACGUUAAAAAUUGUAUAACAAACGGUGAUUUAAAUAAAAAUGAAUCUAAUGUAAACAAAAGUGGUGUCGCCCCUAGUAGCAAUAAUAAUGAAUCUAUAAAUAAAUCUAAUAAGAACAAUGAUAUUUAUUAUAAUACAAACAACAUUAAUGAUAAUAAUUUAUGUUCACAGUACAAUAACAAACAUAUGUUGAAUAUAGAUGCGAAAAAUAUUAAGCAGUCAAGUAUUGAUGAAAGUGAUAAGCAUAUUGUUAUUAAAGAUGAUAUUAUUAUUUUUAAAAACUCGGAUGAUGAUGAAGAGGAAGAGGACGAAUAUAAUAAUAAUGAUACUAUUUCUAAUACCAUUAAUUAUAAUACAUAUGAUGCUGAUAAUAAUGUAAAUAAAAACAAAUGGAGUGCGUAUGAUAUUCGUGGUUCUACUUUUAACAAUGGUGUUAAUAAUAAAACUUUUUCUGGUAGUAUAAAUAACAAUGAUAAAUCUUCUGUGAACUCUUCUAUAUAUAGUUCAAAUAAUUAUUUAAAUAUACAAAGUUACAUGACCGAGCAAUAUAUUAUUAAUAAAAAACAAGCUGAAAAAAUGAGUAAUGCAAAAUUAUAUUUAAGAAAUAAUAGAAAAAAAAGAACGGAAAGUGAGCAUAUAAAUAGUCAUUACAAUGGAAGUUUAAAUACAAAUAUAAAAAAUGGUAAACUUGAUAAAAAAGUGAGUUUAUAUCCGUCUACAAAUUGUAGUAAUAUAUAUAAGCACAGUGCGACCUCUGUUACUACUAAUGACUAUCAUAAUAAUAAUGAUAAUAACAAGUAUGAUAGUGAUAGUAAAGAUGAUAACAUUAAUAAUGUUGGUUCUAACAGGAAUCGAACAAAAAACUUUUUUAAAAAAACAUUUAAUUCUAAGAUUAAUACAAAUGAUGAUCGAAAAAAUAAAAGUAGAUUAUCUAAUCAGUUAUAUUCUUUACUCAAAAAAAAUAUAAGCAAAAAUGAUGAAAACCACACUAAUUUAUCUUGUGCUAGGAACAAGAUAAAUUUGAAUAUGUCUAAUGAUUAUAGUAACAUCAAUAACACUAGUAACAAUAUAGGGUAUAAUGGUAAUAACAAAAUUUCCCAACGUGUUAUGAGUGAUGCUACUAUACUAAAACGUAGUAAGAGUUUUAGAAAGCUUGAGCCUAUAAAUGGUAAAGAACAAAAUGUAAACAUGAAAAAUCAUCUUUUUCCUAAUAACAUUACUAACGCUUCUACGGAUGCAGCUGCUACUUCGACUGAUGCGGUAACUACACCAAAUGACUACGACGAUGACGGUGAAUAUUGUUUCGGAAGCGAUUUAUAUGUUAAUAAAGAAUGUACAAAAUAUGAUAACAAUAUUUCAGACUCACAUUUGAAUCAUACAAACAAUUGUAAGUUUAUGAAUUUUAGAGAGUCUGAUACAUAUGAUUUAAAGCUAGAUACAUCUAACACAAAUAUGGAUAAUAAAAAAUCUAUUUUUCAUAAACUAAAACAUAUGUUUUAUAAAAAGAAAAAAAAAAAAAAACAAGCAUAUAUGAUUCCCCAUUAA
Molecule: long non-coding RNA, 2190 nt
Filed under: Piliocolobus tephrosceles (Ugandan red Colobus)
Lineage: Eukaryota; Metazoa; Chordata; Mammalia; Primates; Cercopithecidae
Description: lncRNA (ENSPTEG00000015514.1)
Source: RNAcentral